RNAcentral lists this ribosomal RNA (556 nucleotides) under uncultured bacterium. RNAcentral describes it as "bacterial SSU rRNA". It matches the Rfam family "Bacterial small subunit ribosomal RNA", at positions 360 to 916 of the family's 1533-position model. The record is from RNAcentral.
CCUCUUCAUGAGCGCACCCUGAUCAGCAUGCCGCGUGUGUGAAGAAGGCCUUCGGGUUGUAAAGCACUUUUGUCCGGAAAGAAAUCGCACUUACUAAUAUUAGGUGUGGAUGACGGUACCGGAAGAAUAAGGACCGGCUAACUACGUGCCAGCAGCCGCGGUAAUACGUAGGGUCCAAGCGUUAAUCGGAAUUACUGGGCGUAAAGCGUGCGCAGGCGGUUGUGCAAGACCGAUGUGAAAUCCCCGGGCUUAACCUGGGAAUUGCAUUGGUGACUGCACGGCUAGAGUGUGUCAGAGGGGGGUAGAAUUCCACGUGUAGCAGUGAAAUGCGUAGAGAUGUGGAGGAAUACCGAUGGCGAAGGCAGCCCCCUGGGAUAACACUGACGCUCAUGCACGAAAGCGUGGGGAGCAAACAGGAUUAGAUACCCUGGUAGUCCACGCCCUAAACGAUGUCAACUAGUUGUUGGGGAUUCAUUUCCUUAGUAACGUAGCUAACGCGUGAAGUUGACCGCCUGGGGAGUACGGUCGCAAGAUUAAAACUCAAAUGAAUUGACGG